RNAcentral lists this ribosomal RNA (485 nucleotides) under uncultured bacterium. Its description in RNAcentral is "bacterial SSU rRNA". It matches the Rfam family "Bacterial small subunit ribosomal RNA", at positions 29 to 526 of the family's 1533-position model. The record is from RNAcentral.
AAUGAACGUUGGCGGCGUGGAUUAGGCAUGCAAGUCGAGCGCGAUAUGUAGCAAUACAUGGAGAGCGGCGACAGGGAGAGUAAUACGUAGGUAUCUACCCUCGGGUCUGGGAUAGCAGCGGGAAACUGCUGGUAAUACCAGAUAACGUCUCCGGACCAAAGGUGUGAUUCCACCUGGGUAGGAGCCUACGGCCUAUUAGCUAGUUGGUAGGGUAACGGCCUACCAAGGCAAAGAUGGGUAUGGGGUGUGAGAGCAUGCCCCCACUCACUGGGACUGAGACACUGCCCAGACACCUACGGGUGGCUGCAGUCGAGAAUCUUCGGCAAUGGGCGAAAGCCUGACCGAGCGACGCCGCGUGCGGGAUGGAGGCCUUCGGGUUGUAAACCGCUGUCGUAGUGGAGGAAAUGUAGGAGAGUUAUCUCUUCUACUUGACUAAUACUAGGAGGAAGGACCGGCUAAUCUCGUGCCAGCAGCCGCCGUAACAC